UCCUCCCUCCUCCUCCUCCUCCUCCUCCUCCUUCCUCUCUUCUAUCUUCUCGUAAUUCUGCUUGAUCACUGACUGCUAUCUAGCUCUCAUCCUCCCUGUAGUGACAUGCUCUGAUGCGGCCCACUGGUUUCCCACUCCCUGGACCCAUUCUUUUUUUAAUUAAAAGACUUUGUUUCCUUUUUGUUUUUGUGGUGGGGGUGCAAGAACACUACAUAAGGCAUGCUGGGUACUUUUCCUCUGCAGCUUUUCCUCCCCUCUCACUCGACUCGUAGCCACACUGAUGUUUUGUUAUCGCAACAUGUGAAUGACAUGUGGGCACCGGAGGGCUCGGAGAGGAACGCAGUGGAAGGAUGAUGCAUGGCAGAUUGCCGUCUUUAUUUCACCCCUUUUCCUUAGAGUAGAAACCCUUCUGUGUUCCCCUCUCUCCCCACGGUGCUAAGUGGUUGUGACAAGCUUCUGGCUCUGCAACAGCCGCAUGCUGGGAAUCACGGCGCAUGUUCACAAGUCUGGAUUCUUUAGGUGCGUUCACAUCGGACACGAAGCGAAGGUUUUGAGCGUCGCGAUUACAUGUCAAGUCAAUGCAGGGACGCGGAUAGAGAUGCAAAUUCCUUCCGGGCAGCGCUAACGAAGCAAUCAUUUGUUCAUCAUUCAGCUUCAUUCAAAUGAAAUAAAGCCAAUUAGUGGAGAGAAUCUCUCCCUGCUGUCGCUGACGUUGUUGAAUCAGAAAAAUAAAACAGCAGUCGUGUAUCUGUGUUUAUAAAUCUACAAACCACAGACUGUCUAUGGUCGAAUACAGUCGCUUCUAUUUUGAGUCUGUACGGAGUAGCCACAUGUUAGCUUAGCCUAGCCUGAUCGAACCAAUCCGAGUUUUUCGCCUAUCUUUUUGAUACUAUUAUUACAAUUAAAUCGAUUCAAAUUAUGUUCAUUUUGUUGUAAUAUUAUGUAUUUAUUUCAACAAGGACCAUGCAUACAAAUACAUUAAUCUCAAAAAACAGAAGAGAGGAAUUAUGCCAGAUUAUAGCUAAUGGCUCAUUUCCAUCUGCAGUCCUUAGGUAGGUACUGUUGUUGAUCAAUCAAUCAAUCAAUGUUUAUUUAUAUAGCCCAAUAUCACAAAUGUUACAUUUGUCUCAGUGGACUUUACAGUUUGUACAAAAUAUCAGUAUGACAAUACGAUGAUGGGACAAUACGAUGAUUGAUGAGAUCUACAUGUAGAUAAGCCCCGCCUCCACGCCAGCGCAUUUUGUUUGAGUGACACGAGUAAACACAACUGAAAGCCGCCAAUCUCCGUUUAGCGUCCGGUGUGAACGCACCAAGCAGAUUUUUUCCGUAUGUAGAAUCCAUGUAUGUUAAGGUUUCCUAAACAUUGUUUGUUUACUGAAGCAUGUGAGUUUUUUGGGGGUGUCAAUCAGCCAGUUUUGGAUCUGUGACCAACGUCGCUAUAAGCCAGGAUUUUUGCAUGGGCUUACUGUGGUGAUUUCAACGUUGUGUGUGUGUGUGUGUGUGUGUGUGUGUGUGUGUGUGUGUGUGUGUGUGUGUGUGUGUGUGUGUGUGUGUGUGUGUGUGUGUGUGUGUGUGUGUUUAUGUGUGCAGACAGCACUCUCAUUCCUCAGUCCUUCUUUCUCUCACACACACUCCCCUCAUCGACCCAAAAAGGUCAUUAAUCUCUCGCCACACUCAGAUGUAGAGCGUUGAACACCGCGACAGUAUGGCUUUUUACACAGAGCUACAAUCUCCUUCUCUUAAAACCCAUCAAAGGAAGAUCAAGGGAGCCUUUGAAGCUCAGAGAGGAGAUUAUCAGCCAUCUUGGAUUGAAAGCCCGAGCAUUAGGACUGAAAUGUCAGGCGUAGAAGACGCACACGCACCUAAAAAAAGGAUAAAACACCUGAGCAUGCAAAAUAAUAAAAGUACAAGCGGCGUUUCUUUUGCUGCAAUUUACGGCCGCAAUAUAACCAAAGUCCCCCAUGGCCACAUUAAUAUCUGCCCACAAUGAAUCAUCAAAUCUCUGAUGGGCAACUCGCUUCUUAAUUGCGAUGAGGACUGAAAUCCCCCCUAACAGCCUAACCCCCGACCCACUUUAACACACAAACACAGACAAACAAACGAGCUAGCAGCCAUCUUAGAUGUUACAUGUGUCUUUUUUUUAAAUGUCAUAUUCUGCUUUAUAGGUUUAUAUAGGAACAGGCAUAUCACACAACUGAUGGGGGAAAUUAGGGUUUUGUGAGAGUUUUUUUAGAACAAAAUAAAAAAACUAAAAUGUAUUUAAAACAAAAAAAUGAAAUGUGCAAUAAUAUAGAAUAAAAUAAUAAAAUGGACCAAAAUAAUAUAUAAAUUAAAACAUAAGAAAUUAAAAUGUAACUACUAUAAAUGAUCAAAUCAAAUACAUUAACUAUAUAUUUAAAAAAAUAAGAGCAAAGUAAAAAUGUUCAGUAAAAUGUGGAAUAAACAAAAAAUAUGAUAAUAAUAUUUAUUUAAACAUAAGAAGUU
Gymnodraco acuticeps is the source of this 2484-nucleotide long non-coding RNA. RefSeq lists it as uncharacterized. The transcript has 2 exons. NCBI's taxonomy places the organism in Eukaryota, Metazoa, Chordata, Actinopteri, Perciformes, Bathydraconidae. The record is from RefSeq and is a predicted model, not a curated record.